UACGGGGGAUGCAAGCGUUAUCCGGAUUUAUUGGGUUUAAAGGGUGCGUAGGCUGUGAGGUAAGUCAGCGGUGAAAUGCCCCCGCUCAACGGGGUGAAGUGCCAUUGAAACUGCCAUGCUGGAGUGCCGGAGAGGUAAGCGGAAUUCCUAGUGUAGCGGUGAAAUGCGUAGAUAUUAGGAGGAACACCAGUGGCGGAGGCGGCUUACUGGACGGUAACUGACGCUGAGGCUCGAAAGCGUGGGGAGCAAACAGG
This 254-nucleotide ribosomal RNA is filed under the name uncultured bacterium. RNAcentral describes it as "partial 16S ribosomal RNA". It matches the Rfam family "Bacterial small subunit ribosomal RNA", at positions 524 to 776 of the family's 1533-position model. The record is from RNAcentral.